This 581-nucleotide ribosomal RNA is filed under the name uncultured bacterium. Its description in RNAcentral is "bacterial SSU rRNA". It matches the Rfam family "Bacterial small subunit ribosomal RNA", at positions 102 to 670 of the family's 1533-position model. The record is from RNAcentral.
ACGGGUGAGUAACACGUGGAUAACCUACCUAUAAGACUGGGAUAACUUCGGGAAACCGGAGCUAAUACCGGAUAAUAUUUUGAACCGCAUGGUUCAAAAGUGAAAGACGGUCUUGCUGUCACUUAUAGAUGGAUCCGCGCUGCAUUAGCUAGUUGGUAAGGUAACGGCUUACCAAGGCAACGAUGCAUAGCCGACCUGAGAGGGUGAUCGGCCACACUGGAACUGAGACACGGUCCAGACUCCUACGGGAGGCAGCAGUAGGGAAUCUUCCGCAAUGGGCGAAAGCCUGACGGAGCAACGCCGCGUGAGUGAUGAAGGUCUUCGGAUCGUAAAACUCUGUUAUUAGGGAAGAACAUAUGUGUAAGUAACUGUGCACAUCUUGACGGUACCUAAUCAGAAAGCCACGGCUAACUACGUGCCAGCAGCCGCGGUAAUACGUAGGUGGCAAGCGUUAUCCGGAAUUAUUGGGCGUAAAGCGCGCGUAGGCGGUUUUUUAAGUCUGAUGUGAAAGCCCACGGCUCAACCGUGGAGGGUCAUUGGAAACUGGAAAACUUGAGUGCAGAAGAGGAAAGUGGAAUUCC